RNAcentral lists this ribosomal RNA (253 nucleotides) under uncultured bacterium. RNAcentral's name for it is "partial 16S ribosomal RNA". It matches the Rfam family "Bacterial small subunit ribosomal RNA", at positions 524 to 776 of the family's 1533-position model. The record is from RNAcentral.
UACGAACCACACGAACGUUAUUCGGAAUCACUGGGCUUAAAGGGUGCGUAGGCGGCGCGGAAAGUUGGGUGUGAAAUCCCUUGGCUUAACCGAGGAAUUGCGCCCAAAACUACCGUGCUCGAGGGAGAUAGAGGUGAGCGGAACUUAGGGUGGAGCGGUGAAAUGCGUUGAUAUCCUAAGGAACACCGGUGGCGAAAGCGGCUCACGGGAUCUCUUCUGACGCUGAGGCACGAAAGCUAGGGGUGCGAACGGG